RNAcentral lists this non-coding RNA (45 nucleotides) under Schistosoma mansoni. Lineage: Eukaryota; Metazoa; Platyhelminthes; Trematoda; Strigeidida; Schistosomatidae. The record is from RNAcentral.
GUCCAGAUGACGAGUCCCAAAUAGGACGAAACGCGCGUCCUGGAU